Molecule: small nuclear RNA, 116 nt
Filed under: Caenorhabditis brenneri
Lineage: Eukaryota; Metazoa; Nematoda; Chromadorea; Rhabditida; Rhabditidae
Description: snRNA CBN34304
Source: RNAcentral
GGUUCAAUUACCCAAGUUUGAGGUAAGGUUGCUGGUUUAAGGCCGAAUUCGUUCGUUCUUUUUCUGGUGAUCUUGCUUUGAACUUAAAAUCCGAUCCUAUGCCCAUGUGCAUCAGA